AAAAUGACUCUCGGCAACGGAUAUCUCGGCUCUCGCAUCGAUGAAGAACGUAGCGAAAUGCGAUACUUGGUGUGAAUUGCAGAAUCCCGUGAACCAUCGAGUCUUUGAACGCAAGUUGCGCCCCAAGCCUUCGGGCCGAGGGCACGUCUGCCUGGGUGUCACGC
Molecule: ribosomal RNA, 164 nt
Filed under: Lasiosiphon sericocephalus
Lineage: Eukaryota; Viridiplantae; Streptophyta; Magnoliopsida; Malvales; Thymelaeaceae
Description: Gnidia sericocephala 5.8S ribosomal RNA
Rfam family: 5.8S ribosomal RNA
About the family: 5.8S ribosomal RNA (5.8S rRNA) is a component of the large subunit of the eukaryotic ribosome. It is transcribed by RNA polymerase I as part of the 45S precursor that also contains 18S and 28S rRNA.
Source: RNAcentral